Gossypium hirsutum (cotton) is the source of this 102-nucleotide non-coding RNA. Lineage: Eukaryota; Viridiplantae; Streptophyta; Magnoliopsida; Malvales; Malvaceae. The record is from Rfam.
AGUCCAUGGUGUUGGAACUUCCUUAGAAUUCUCUUGAAAUGCUCCCAUGCCUCAUACAAGGAUUCACUUUCAAAUUGUUUAAAACUGGCGAUUACUAACCAU